This is a small nucleolar RNA of Humulus lupulus (European hop), 107 nucleotides long. Lineage: Eukaryota; Viridiplantae; Streptophyta; Magnoliopsida; Rosales; Cannabaceae. The record is from RefSeq and is a predicted model, not a curated record.
AUGCCAUGAUGAGGGCAUUUUCAUAACAACUCCUUGAACUGCUCCCAUGCCUCAUAUAAAGAUUCUUUAUCAAGUUGUUGAAAUGAAGUAAUCUCAUUGAGGAGCUU